Small nucleolar RNA from Lathyrus oleraceus (garden pea), 107 nucleotides. NCBI's taxonomy places the organism in Eukaryota, Viridiplantae, Streptophyta, Magnoliopsida, Fabales, Fabaceae. The record is from RefSeq and is a predicted model, not a curated record.
AUUCCAUUGUGAUGACAUUGCCUUAACAACUUCUUGAAUCUUUCUCAAUCAUCAAAUAAUGAUUUAUCAUCUCCUUGUCUAAAUGAGGUAAUCUCAUUUCUAAUCUU